GCUUCCAAGACUUUUAAGUAGUUACUAGCUAUAGUCUUAUUAUUACUUAUGAAGGAAACAGAGCAGUUAUGCAAUUCUUCUAGUUUUUAGCUUAAGCCAACUCUAUAAAAACUAAGAGUCUUUUUCCAAUAUUUCUAAAAACAGAGCAUUUACUCAAAUGUUUUAGUUAACUUGUUGUCUAAUUUCACUUUGAUUUUAUAUUACACUUUUGAUUCAUGUUCACUGCCAUGUAUUAUUUCUCUAAGUUUUAAUUAAGAAAACAUUCAUUUAUUUUAUCUAAUUGUUUAGAAAAGAAAACGAAAUGAAAUAAAAUGAAAGAAAGAACCGAAAAUAUGGUAACAGAACCAUAUCCUUCUAAACAUUUAGAUUAUUAUUAUGAUAUGUGGAAAGUGUUUUGUUUAAUGAUCUGAAGCCAUAUACACGUAUGAGAAUAAGAAUUAGAUGUCAUGCAAUUUCUUAAUUAUGUUAGGUUCCUGUUCUUGCAUAAUUUCUUUUAAUACAUUAGUAUUGUUAGAAUUUAAUUAUAAUUCUAGUUAGUUAAGAAAUAGUUGUUUUGAUGAGUUAAUAGGUAUCCUAGAUGAAGGUGAUUGCUCGAGUUAUUUUGGAAAGCUUCAAGGUAAGGGGAAUUGCUAAUAAUAAGUUUCGAUGAGCACAAGAAAUGUGUUACUUGUAUAUAUAUUAUUAGUUAUAAUUA
This 694-nucleotide long non-coding RNA is filed under the name Trifolium pratense (red clover). RNAcentral describes it as "long non-coding RNA (TPRA_LNC009589)". The record is from RNAcentral. Lineage: Eukaryota; Viridiplantae; Streptophyta; Magnoliopsida; Fabales; Fabaceae.